GUGGGGAAUAUUGGACAAUGGGCGAAAGCCUGAUCCAGCCAUGCCGCGUGUGUGAAGAAGGUCUUCGGAUUGUAAAGCACUUUAAGUUGGGAGGAAGGGCAGUAAGUUAAUACCUUGCUGUUUUGACGUUACCAACAGAAUAAGCACCGGCUAACUUCGUGCCAGCAGCCGCGGUAAUACGAAGGGUGCAAGCGUUAAUCGGAAUUACUGGGCGUAACGCGCGCGUAGGUGGUUUUGUAAGUUGGAGGUGUAAUCCCCGGGCUCAACCUGGGAACUGCCUCCAAAACUGCAUGACUAGAGUACGGUAGAGGGUAGUGGAAUUUCCUGUAUAGCGGUGAAAUGCGUAGAUAUAGGAAGGAACACCAGUGGCGAAGGCGACUACCUGGACUGAUACUGACACUGAGGUGCGAAAGCGUGGGGAGCAAACAGGAUUAGAAACCCUAGUAGUCC
Molecule: ribosomal RNA, 450 nt
Filed under: uncultured bacterium
Lineage: Bacteria
Description: partial 16S ribosomal RNA
Rfam family: Bacterial small subunit ribosomal RNA
Source: RNAcentral